GAUGAACGCUGGCGGCGUGCCUAAUACAUGCAAGUCGAGCGAACAGAUGAGGAGCUUGCUCCUCUGACGUUAGCGGCGGACGGGUGAGUAACACGUGGAUAACCUACCUAUAAGACUGGGAUAACUUCGGGAAACCGGAGCUAAUACCGGAUAAUAUAUUGAACCGCAUGGUUCAAUAGUGAAAGACGGUUUUGCUGUCACUUAUAGAUGGAUCCGCGCCGCAUUAGCUAGUUGGUAAGGUAACGGCUUACCAAGGCAACGAUGCGUAGCCGACCUGAGAGGGUGAUCGGCCACACUGGAACUGAGACACGGUCCAGACUCCUACGGGAGGCAGCAGUAGGGAAUCUUCCGCAAUGGGCGAAAGCCUGACGGAGCAACGCCGCGUGAGUGAUGAAGGUCUUCGGAUCGUAAAACUCUGUUAUUGGGGAGGAACAAAUGUGUAAGUAACUAUGCACGUCUUGACGGUACCUAAUCAGAAAGCCACGGCUAACUACGUG
RNAcentral lists this ribosomal RNA (497 nucleotides) under uncultured bacterium. Its description in RNAcentral is "partial 16S ribosomal RNA". It matches the Rfam family "Bacterial small subunit ribosomal RNA", at positions 28 to 507 of the family's 1533-position model. The record is from RNAcentral.